Molecule: long non-coding RNA, 393 nt
Filed under: Salmo salar (Atlantic salmon)
Lineage: Eukaryota; Metazoa; Chordata; Actinopteri; Salmoniformes; Salmonidae
Description: lncRNA (ENSSSAG00000087386.1)
Source: RNAcentral
GUCCAGUAGGACCUGUAGACAUGAACGAGGUCCGGUAGGACCUGUAGACAUUAACGAGGUCCAGUAGGACCUGUAGACAUUAACGAGGUCCAGUAGGACCUGUAGACGCGGCCGGUCCGCGGGAACAUUAACGAGGUCCAGUAGGUUUAGUCAUUACAGAAGGGUGACUUGGUGAAGAGGAUUUUGAAUAUUGACUCUGUGGUCCUCAACCAGCCAGCAUGGAAGCUACUGGUGUUUAGAUUUUCAUUGGCUUCUCUCCAAGCUUGGCUCAAUGUGCAGGGAACUUUGUGUUUGCAUGAUAUGCCAACGGCUGUGUCCUCUAACCCAGCCUGGCAGUUAGGACUUAUCCUCUGUUACCAUAGAGACGUGUAUAUACUAGAAUCCUCUCUCUGU